RNAcentral lists this ribosomal RNA (111 nucleotides) under Acanthosepion pharaonis. Lineage: Eukaryota; Metazoa; Mollusca; Cephalopoda; Sepiida; Sepiidae. The record is from RNAcentral.
UUACGGUCAAAUCACGCUGAAACACCGGUUCUCGUACGAUCACCGAAGUUAAGCAGCGUAGAGCCAGGUCAGUACUUAGAUGGGGACCGCUUGAACACCUGGUACUGUAAG